Molecule: ribosomal RNA, 442 nt
Filed under: uncultured eukaryote
Lineage: Eukaryota
Description: SSU rRNA
Rfam family: Eukaryotic small subunit ribosomal RNA
Source: RNAcentral
UUGUGGUUAAAAAGCUCGUAGUUGGAUCUCGGCAGGCUUGGGGCGGUCUGCUUGCUAGUAUUACUGCCCUAUAGUCUGUAGUUUUGCCAGAGGUUUUAGGGUGCUCUUAAUCGAGUGUCCUGGGAUGCUGGCAGGUUUACUUUGAAAAAAUUAGAGUGCUCAAAGCAGGCUUUUACGCCUGAAUAUUCGUGCAUGGAAUAAUAGAAUAGGAAGUCGUUUCUAUUUUGUUGGUUUUCGGAAAUCGACUUAAUGAUUAAUAGGGACAGUCGGGGGCAUUUGUAUUCAAACGACAGAGGUGAAAUUCUUGGACCGUUUGAAGACAAACUACUGCGAAAGCAUUUGCCAAGAAUGUUUUCAUUAAUCAAGAACGAAAGUUAAAGGUUCGAAGGCGAUUAAUACCGCCCUAUUUAACCAUAAACAUGCCACUACAUCUGCGACUUUU